CUCGUUGAUGAUCGGUGCUUGCACCGAGAUUCAACAUGGAACGAGUGGCGGACGGGUGAGUAACACGUGGGUAACCUGCCCUUAAGUGGGGGAUAACAUUUGGAAACAGAUGCUAAUACCGCAUAGAUCCAAGAACCGCAUGGUUCUUGGCUGAAAGAUGGCGUAAGCUAUCGCUUUUGGAUGGACCCGCGGCGUAUUAGCUAGUUGGUGAGGUAAUGGCUCACCAAGGCGAUGAUACGUAGCCGAACUGAGAGGUUGAUCGGCCACAUUGGGACUGAGACACGGCCCAAACUCCUACGGGAGGCAGCAGUAGGGAAUCUUCCACAAUGGACGCAAGUCUGAUGGAGCAACGCCGCGUGAGUGAAGAAGGCUUUCGGGUCGUAAAACUCUGUUGUUGGAGAAGAAUGGUCGGCAGAGUAACUGUUGUCGGCGUGACGGUAUCCAACCAGAAAGCCACGGCUAACUACGUGCCAGCAGCCGCGGUAAUACGUAGGUGGCAAGCGUUAUCCGGAUUUAUUGGGCGUAAAGCGAGCGCA
RNAcentral lists this ribosomal RNA (536 nucleotides) under Lacticaseibacillus casei. RNAcentral describes it as "bacterial SSU rRNA". It matches the Rfam family "Bacterial small subunit ribosomal RNA", at positions 63 to 573 of the family's 1533-position model. The record is from RNAcentral. Lineage: Bacteria; Bacillati; Bacillota; Bacilli; Lactobacillales; Lactobacillaceae.